This 710-nucleotide long non-coding RNA is filed under the name Eptatretus burgeri (inshore hagfish). Its description in RNAcentral is "lncRNA (ENSEBUG00000017438.1)". The record is from RNAcentral. Lineage: Eukaryota; Metazoa; Chordata; Myxini; Myxiniformes; Myxinidae.
CCCCCCCCCCCUCCCCAUAACGUGUCCCUUUCGAGUACUGGUGUUCCCCCAUAACGUGUCCCUUUCUCGUGCUGGUGUUCCCCCAUAACGUGUUCCUUUCUAGUGCUGGUGUUCCCCGUGAGUCUCUUUCUAGUUCUGAUGUUCCCCAUAACGUGUCCCUUUCUAGUGCUGGUGUUCCCCCAUAACGUGUCCCUUUCUAGUGCUGGUGUUCCCCCAUAACGUGUCCCUUUCUAGUGCAAAUGGUCCCCAUUAUGUGUCCCUUUCUCGUGCUGAUGUUCCCCAUGAGUCUCUUUCUAGUUCUGAUGUUCCCCAUAACGUGUCCCUUUCUCGUGCUGGUGUUCCCCAUGUGUCCCUUUCUCAUGCUGGUGUUCCCCAUGAGUCUCUUUCUCGUGCUGGCGUUCCCCAUCAUGAGUCCCUUUCUCGUGCUCAUGGUCCCCAUGAGUCUCUUUCUCGUUAUGAUGUUCCUCAUGUGCCCCUUUUGAGUGCUGGUGUUCCUCAUAACGUGUCCCUUUCUAGUGCUGGUGUUCCCCCAUAAGGUGUCCCUUUCUAGUGCAAAUGGUCCCCAUCAUGUGUCCCUUUCUAGUGCUGGUGUUCCCCAUAAUGUGUCUCGUGCUGAUCUGAUCCCCCCCCCCCCCCCCCCCCCCCCCCCCCCCCCCCCCCCCCCCCCCCCCCCCCCCCCCCCCCCCCCCCCCCCCCCCCCCCCCCCCCCC